RNAcentral lists this ribosomal RNA (434 nucleotides) under uncultured Lachnospiraceae bacterium. RNAcentral describes it as "partial 16S ribosomal RNA". It matches the Rfam family "Bacterial small subunit ribosomal RNA", at positions 341 to 792 of the family's 1533-position model. The record is from RNAcentral. Lineage: Bacteria; Bacillati; Bacillota; Clostridia; Lachnospirales; Lachnospiraceae.
ACGGAAGGCAGCAGUGGGGAAUAUUGCACAAUGGGCGAAAGCCUGAUGCAACGACGCCGCGUGAGCGAAGAAGUAUUUCGGUAUGCAAAGCUCUAUCAGCAGGGAAGAUAAUGACGGUACCUGACUAAGAAGCACCGGCUAAAUACGUGCCAGCAGCCGCGGUAAUACGUAUGGUGCAAGCGUUAUCCGGAUUUACUGGGUGUAAAGGGAGCGCAGGCGGUACGGCAAGUCUGAUGUGAAAGCCCGGGGCUCAACCCCGGUACUGCAUUGGAAACUGUCGGACUAGAGUGUCGGAGGGGUAAGUGGAAUUCCUAGUGUAGCGGUGAAAUGCGUAGAUAUUAGGAGGAACACCAGUGGCGAAGGCGGCUUACUGGACGAUAACUGACGCUGAGGCUCGAAAGCGUGGGGAGCAAACAGGAUUAGAUACCCUGGUA